This 427-nucleotide ribosomal RNA is filed under the name uncultured bacterium. RNAcentral's name for it is "partial 16S ribosomal RNA". It matches the Rfam family "Bacterial small subunit ribosomal RNA", at positions 355 to 774 of the family's 1533-position model. The record is from RNAcentral.
UGGGGAAUAUUGCACAAUGGGCGCAAGCCUGAUGCAGCCAUGCCGCGUGUAUGAAGAAGGCCUUCGGGUUGUAAAGUACUUUCAGCGAGGAGGAAGGCGUUGUGGUUAAUAACCGCAACGAUUGACGUUACUCGCAGAAGAAGCACCGGCUAACUCCGUGCCAGCAGCCGCGGUAAUACGGAGGGUGCAAGCGUUAAUCGGAAUUACUGGGCGUAAAGCGCACGCAGGCGGUCUGUCAAGUCGGAUGUGAAAUCCCCGGGCUCAACCUGGGAACUGCAUCCGAAACUGGCAGGCUAGAGUCUUGUAGAGGGGGGUAGAAGUCCAGGUGUAGCGGUGAAAUGCGUAGAGAUCUGGAGGAAUACCGGUGGCGAAGGCGGCCCCCUGGACAAAGACUGACGCUCAGGUGCGAAAGCGUGGGGAGCAAACA